Molecule: unclassified non-coding RNA, 352 nt
Filed under: soil metagenome
Description: partial contains 5.8S ribosomal RNA, internal transcribed spacer 2, and large subunit ribosomal RNA
Rfam family: 5.8S ribosomal RNA (bases 1-120)
Source: RNAcentral
GAUGAAGAACGCAGCGAAAUGCGAUAAGUGAUGUGAAUUGCAGAAUUCAGUGAAUCAUCGAAUCUUUGAACGCACAUUGCGCCCGCCAGUAUUCUGGCGGGCAUGCCUGUUCGAGCGUCAUUACAACCCUCAGGCCCCCGGGCCUGGCGUUGGGGAUCGGCGGAGCCCCCCGUGGGCACACGCCGUCCCCCAAAUACAGUGGCGGUCCCGCCGCAGCUUCCAUCGCGUAGUAGCUAACACCUCGCGACUGGAGAGCGGCGCGGCCACGCCGUAAAACACCCAACUCUUCUGAAGUUGACCUCGAAUCAGGUAGGAAUACCCGCUGAACUUAAGCAUAUCAAUAAGCGGAGGA